AGGGGUUCAAAUGAAGAAAAAAAAUACAGAUCAUGAAGCUUGGACAGAGUUGGCUCGCUGGAUGCGAUGUACAGCGCCAUCUCAAACUGCCAUUUCAGUGCUUACAGGCCUCACAAAUGACAACUACAGCUCUCCUCGUGUGAAGACCGAAGAGUGUAAAGACCAUCGACUCUACUGUGCGACUCCACCGGGCAGGAACACUGGCAAGGGAUAUAAGUAUCGCUUUUUAUUUAUCCUCUUUCCUACUACUUGUUUCACUUCUGUAUUAGUUUUUAUAACCAAUUCUUACUGUGUUUUCAGAUCACUACUAUCACUACCACUCGCAAACCACGCAUCACACACUGUAGACAGCGCAAUUCUGUAGACAGACCCCUCCAGGAUCACUAGGUAACUUUGUGGAAGAAUUAGAUUUGUUGCUCUCAACCUUUCCUGAGGUUGGUACUCCCUUAGUUAUACUUAGGAGACUUCUAGAUAAACCUCAGGCUGCAGACUCUUAGAGAAAAAUGGCCGUUUAGACCGGAUUUAGACUGUUUCAUAGUACUGAGACUGCUCUCAUUAGAGUUACAAAUGACCUGCUCUUGUCAUCUGAUCAUGGCUGGAUCUUUCUAUUAGUACUGCUGGAUCUUAGCGCUGCGUUCGACACUAUAGACCACAACUAGAAAACUUUGUUGGCAUUAAUGGCUUAGCAUGGGUCAAAUCGUACUCAUCUGACCGCCAUCAAUUUGUAGCACUGAAUGAAGAGGUAUCAUAUCGAUCACAAGUGCAGUAUGGAGUACCUCAAGGCUCAGUACUAGGGCCGUUACUUUUCACGCUUGUUGCCCUUAGGAAAUAUCAUCAGGAAACACGCUGUUAGCUUUCACUGUUAUGCUGAUGAUACUCAGCUCUAUAUUUCUUCACGCCCCGGUGAAACACACCAAAUUGAGAAACUAACGGAAUGCAUAGUGAAUAUAAAAAACUGGAUGAGUAAUUUCUUACUGCUAAAUUCUGAAAAAACAGAGGUGUUAAUUAUCGGACCUAAAACCCCAAAAUGUAAUAACUUAGAACACUGUCUAACACCUGACGGCUGCUCUGUCAAUUCUUCGUCAUCAGUUAGGAACCUAGGUGUGCUAUUUGAUAGCAAUCUUUCCUUUGACAGCCACGUUUCUAGCAUUUGUAAAACUGCAUUUUUUCAUCUUAAAAAUAUAUCUAAAUUGAGACCUAUGCUCUCAAUGUCAAAUGCAGAAAUGUUAAUUCAUGCAUUUAUGACCUCAAGGUUAGAUUAUUGUAAUGCUUUAUUGGGUGGUAGUUCUGUUCGCUUAAUAAACAAACUACAGAUGGUCCAAAAUGCAGCAGCUAGAGUUCUUACUAGAACCAGGAAGUAUGACCACAUUAACCCGGUUCUGUCAACACUGCACUGGCUCCCUACUAAACAUUGUAUAGAUUUUAAAAUCUUGUUAAUUACUUAUAAAACCCUGAAUGGUUUAGCUCCUCAGUACUUGAGCGAGCUCUUAUCGCAUUAUAGUCCUCCACAUCCACUGUGUUCUCAAAACUCUGGCCGUUUGAUAAUACCUAGAAUAUCAAAAUCGACUGCGGGCGGCAGAACCUUUUUCUUAUUUAGCGCCAAAACUCUGGAACAAUCUACCUAUCACUGUUUGGGAGGCAGACACACUCUGUCAGUUUAAAGCUAGAUUAAAGUAAUACGCUUCUAAUAUUCAAAUCCGUUAAAGGAUUGUUAGGCUGCAUUAAUUAGGUGAACCAGAACCAGGAACACUCCCCAUAACACCCUGAUGUACUUGUUACAUCGUAAGAAGAAUGGCAUCUACGUUAAUAUUGGUCUAUUUCUUUCUUAUUCCGAGAUCACUGUUGCCACCCGAUCCAGUCCGUAUCCAGAUCAGAUGGUGGAUCAGUACCUAGAGACGACCUCUACAGCCCUGAACAUCAGCGGACUUCAGGACACCUAGAUGAGCCCCAGAGACAAAUCUCCAGUGAGGACUUCAUUACCUAGACAGCCAUCGGGACAAGACCACAGGAACCAAAUGAGUCCUUUACAAAAUCUGACUUUUCUGCAGUUGGAAUUGAACUGCCAUUUUGUCUGGUCAGAGGAGAACUGGCCCCCGACUGAGUCUGGUUUCUCCCAAGGUUUUUUUCUCCAUUCUGUCACCGAUGGAGUUUUGGUUCUUUGCCGCUGUCGCCUCUGACUUGCUUAGCUGGGGACGCUUAUUUUCCAGCGAUGUCUACAUGAUUGCACAGAUACUAUUUAAACUGAACUGAGCUGGAUGAUUUUACAUUAUUGACACUAUUUUCCUAUUCUGAUAUUGGAAAGUUGCUUUGACACAAUCUGUAUUGUUAAAAGCGCUAUAUAAAUAAAGGUGAC
This is a long non-coding RNA of Onychostoma macrolepis, 2353 nucleotides long. RefSeq lists it as uncharacterized. The transcript has 3 exons. Lineage: Eukaryota; Metazoa; Chordata; Actinopteri; Cypriniformes; Cyprinidae. The record is from RefSeq and is a predicted model, not a curated record.